Molecule: ribosomal RNA, 396 nt
Filed under: uncultured bacterium
Lineage: Bacteria
Description: partial 16S ribosomal RNA
Rfam family: Bacterial small subunit ribosomal RNA
Source: RNAcentral
AUACGAAGGGUGCGAGCGUUAAUCGGAAUUACUGGGCGUAAAGCGCGCGUAGGCGGAUUGUUAAGUUGGAGGUGACAUCCCCGGGCUCAACCUGGGCAGUGCCUCCAACACUGGCUGCCUAGAGUCCGGUAGAGGGUGGUGGAAUUUACUGUGUAGCGGUGAAAAGCGUAGAUAUAGGAAGGAACACCAGUGGCGAAGGCGACCACCUGGACUGAUACUGACGCUGAGGGGCGAAAGCGUGGGGAGCAAACAGGAUUAGAUACCCUGGUAGUCCACGCCGUAAACGAUGUCGACUAGCCGUUGGGCUCCUUGAGAGCUUAGUGGCGCAGCUAACGCAUUAAGUCGACCGCCUGGGGAGUACGGCCGCAAGGUUAACACUCAAAUGAAUUGACGGGG